UCGAUGAAGUUGUUGUGUAUCGGCAUUGUCCGUCCCCAGAAUUUCACCCUCACCUUCGUCGAUUUCCUCACCAAUAGGUUGGAAUUUCAGUGGUAAAAAACUUCCAAACGUAACUGGUUGUAAUCGCUGUUGUACUCCAUUUUCCGGCGUUAUCUGCAUGACGGAACUUUCAAUCCUGCUAGGGUUGUGAAAAAUUGUAGGCGCCGAACCCAUCCCUGUUAACCAUCGAACAGGCUUGUCAACAGCAGGCGUUUCUAUACUCUCCUCCUCGGUAUCACAUUUGUCGCUGGUGGUUUCCGUCGUCGUCUCGCCAUGGCUGCAGGUGCAAGUUGGCU
Molecule: long non-coding RNA, 335 nt
Filed under: Nicotiana benthamiana
Lineage: Eukaryota; Viridiplantae; Streptophyta; Magnoliopsida; Solanales; Solanaceae
Description: long non-coding RNA (NBEN_LNC012851)
Source: RNAcentral